RNAcentral lists this ribosomal RNA (573 nucleotides) under Bacillus sp. 3R-18. Its description in RNAcentral is "bacterial SSU rRNA". It matches the Rfam family "Bacterial small subunit ribosomal RNA", at positions 116 to 674 of the family's 1533-position model. The record is from RNAcentral. Lineage: Bacteria; Bacillati; Bacillota; Bacilli; Caryophanales; Bacillaceae.
CGUGGGUAACCUGCCCAUAAGACUGGGAUAACUCCGGGAAACCGGGGCUAAUACCGGAUAAUAUUUUGAACUGCAUGGUUCGAAAUUGAAAGGCGGCUUCGGCUGUCACUUAUGGAUGGACCCGCGUCGCAUUAGCUAGUUGGUGAGGUAACGGCUCACCAAGGCAACGAUGCGUAGCCGACCUGAGAGGGUGAUCGGCCACACUGGGACUGAGACACGGCCCAGACUCCUACGGGAGGCAGCAGUAGGGAAUCUUCCGCAAUGGACGAAAGUCUGACGGAGCAACGCCGCGUGAGUGAUGAAGGCUUUCGGGUCGUAAAACUCUGUUGUUAGGGAAGAACAAGUGCUAGUUGAAUAAGCUGGCACCUUGACGGUACCUAACCAGAAAGCCACGGCUAACUACGUGCCAGCAGCCGCGGUAAUACGUAGGUGGCAAGCGUUAUCCGGAAUUAUUGGGCGUAAAGCGCGCGCAGGUGGUUUCUUAAGUCUGAUGUGAAAGCCCACGGCUCAACCGUGGAGGGUCAUUGGAAACUGGGAGACUUGAGUGCAGAAGAGGAAAGUGGAAUUCCAUGU